RNAcentral lists this ribosomal RNA (506 nucleotides) under uncultured bacterium. RNAcentral's name for it is "partial 16S ribosomal RNA". It matches the Rfam family "Bacterial small subunit ribosomal RNA", at positions 30 to 523 of the family's 1533-position model. The record is from RNAcentral.
AUUGAACGCUAACGGCGUGCUUAACACAUGCAAGUCGAGCGGCAGCACAGUAGUAGCAAUACUAUGGGUGGCGAGCGGCGGACGGGUGAGUAAUACAUAGGAAUCUGCCUUAUAGUGGGGGAUAACCCGGGGAAACUCGGGCUAAUACCGCAUAAUCUCUACGGAGAAAAGUAUGGCACCUUCGGGACAUAUGCUAAAAGAUGAGCCUAUGUUGGAUUAGCUAGUUGGUAGGGUAAAGGCCUACCAAGGCAACGAUCCAUAGCUGGGCUGAGAGGAUGAUCAGCCACACUGGGACUGAGACACGGCCCAGACUCCAACGGGAGGCAGCAGUGGGGAAUAUUGGACAAUGGGCGCAAGCCUGAUCCAGCAACGCCGUGUGUGUGAAGAAGGCCUUAGGGUUGUAAAGCACUUUUAGUGGGGAAGAAAAGUUCAUGGCUAAUAUCCAUGAAUGCUGACGUUACCCACAGAAAAAGCACUGGCUAACUCUGUGCCAGCCGCCGCGGUAA